GUGAAUCAUCGAAUCUUUGAACGCAAAUUGCACUCCCUUCGGUGAGUAUGACUGUUUGAGGGUCAGCCUCAAAAAAAAUCGAAAUAGUCGCUGUUUCGUGGUGCCAUUCGUUGGACAUUGGGUUAUGUUAAACUUUCGGGUUCUAAGCGGCUUAAAAUUUUCUUUUAGAUUCCUCGAACGUUUCUAAGUUUUACUUCUUAUCCGUUUAAGGUAUCGAUCUCUAUUAGCAGUGGACGUUGCAUCGGAU
This 247-nucleotide unclassified non-coding RNA is filed under the name Glomus sp. RNAcentral's name for it is "partial contains 5.8S ribosomal RNA and internal transcribed spacer 2". The stretch from base 1 to 65 matches the Rfam family "5.8S ribosomal RNA", at positions 84 to 154 of the family's 154-position model. The record is from RNAcentral. Lineage: Eukaryota; Fungi; Glomeromycota; Glomeromycetes; Glomerales; Glomeraceae.